CCACGAUCCGUAACCUCGAUUUCCUGGAGAUGUGGAGGCCUUUUCUUCAGCCUUACCAUCUGAUUAUCGUCCAAGAUGGAGAUCCAUCGAAGACCAUUGCUGUCCCUGAAGGGUUCGAUUACGAACUCUACAACAGGAACGACAUCAACCGUAUCCUUGGUCCUAAAGCUUCCUGCAUUUCCUUCAAGGACUCUGCUUGUCGUUGCUUCGGCUACAUGGUCUCCA
RNAcentral lists this small RNA (225 nucleotides) under Arabidopsis thaliana (thale cress). Its description in RNAcentral is "ATSL130300". The record is from RNAcentral. Lineage: Eukaryota; Viridiplantae; Streptophyta; Magnoliopsida; Brassicales; Brassicaceae.